GAUGAACGCUGGCGGCGUGCCUAAUACAUGCAAGUCGAGCGAACAGACGAGGAGCUUGCCCCUCUGACGUUAGCGGCGGACGGGUGAGUAACACGUGGAUAACCUACCUAUAAGACUGGGAUAACUUCGGGAAACCGGAGCUAAUACCGGAUAAUAUAUUGAACCGCAUGGUUCAAUAGUGAAAGACGGUUUUGCUGUCACUUAUAGAUGGAUCCGCGCCGCAUUAGCUAGUUGGUAAGGUAACGGCUUACCAAGGCAACGAUGCGUAGCCGACCUGAGAGGGUGAUCGGCCACACUGGAACUGAGACACGGUCCAGACUCCUACGGGAGGCAGCAGUAGGGAAUCUUCCGAAAUGGGCGAAAGCUUGACGGAGCAACGCCGCGUGAGUGAUGAAGGUCUUCGGAUCGUAAAACUCUGUUAUUAGGGAAGAACAAAUGUGUAAGUAACGAUGCACGUCUGGACGGUACCUAAGCAGAAAGCCACGGCUAACUACGU
This 496-nucleotide ribosomal RNA is filed under the name uncultured bacterium. Its description in RNAcentral is "partial 16S ribosomal RNA". It matches the Rfam family "Bacterial small subunit ribosomal RNA", at positions 28 to 506 of the family's 1533-position model. The record is from RNAcentral.